Molecule: ribosomal RNA, 1735 nt
Filed under: Clostridioides difficile
Lineage: Bacteria; Bacillati; Bacillota; Clostridia; Peptostreptococcales; Peptostreptococcaceae
Description: 23S ribosomal RNA
Rfam family: Bacterial large subunit ribosomal RNA
Source: RNAcentral
UGGGCCAUUAGCUCAGUUGGUUAGAGCGCCCGGCUCAUAACCGGUAGGUCUGGGGUUCGAGUCCCUGAUGGCCCACCACAUUAAAUUAAUUAAUAUAAAUAUAAAUUCGAGGUGUAGCGCAGUUUGGUAGCGCACAUGGUUUGGGACCAUGGGGCCGGGGGUUCGAGUCCCUUCACCUCGACCAAUAUAAGGUGGGUAUAGCUCAGUUGGUUAGAGCGCCAGAUUGUGGCUCUGGAGGUCGUGAGUUCGACUCUCAUUAUCCACCCCAAAUUAUAUGGUCUAUUAGCUCAGUCGGUAGAGCACCUGACUUUUAAUCAGGGUGUCCCGCGUUCGAGUCGCGGAUAGAUCACCAAAAAGGNAGGCAAAUCCGCUUUGAUAAUGCUGGGAUGUGAUGGGGAGCGAAAUUUAGUAGCGAAGUAGCUGAUUUCACACUGUCAAGAAAAGUCUCUAUCGAGGUUAAAGGUACCCGUACCGCAAACCGACACAGGUGGGUGAGGAGAGUAUCCUAAGGCCAGCGAGAGAACUGUUGUUAAGGAACUCGGCAAAAUGACCCCGUAACUUAGGGAUAAGGGGUGCCACCAUCCGGUGGCCGCAGAGAAUAGGCCCAAGCGACUGUUUACCAAAAACAUAGGUUUCUGCUAAGUCGCAAGACGAUGUAUAGGAGCUGACGCCUGCCCGGUGCUGGAAGGUUAAGGGGAUCUGUUAGAGCAAUCGAAGCAGUGAACUUAAGCCCCAGUAAACGGCGGCCGUAACUAUAACGGUCCUAAGGUAGCGAAAUUCCUUGUCGGGUAAGUUCCGACCCGCACGAAAGGCGUAACGAUUUGGGCACUGUCUCAACAACAGACUCGGUGAAAUUGUAAUUCCGGUGAAGAUGCCGGAUACCUGCGACAGGACGGAAAGACCCCAUGGAGCUUUACUGUAGCUUGACAUUGGGUCUUGGUACUACAUGUACAGGAUAGGUGGGAGGCUUUGAAACCAGGACGCCAGUUUUGGCGGAGCCAUCCUUGGGAUACCACCCUUGUAGUACUGGGACUCUAACCAUAGGCCAUGAAUCUGGUCUUGGGACACUGUCAGGUGGGCAGUUUGACUGGGGCGGUCGCCUCCCAAAAGGUAACGGAGGCGCUCAAAGGUUCUCUCAGUACGGUCGGAAAUCGUACGUAGAGUGUAAAGGCAAAAGAGAGCUUGAUUGCAAGACAUACAGGUCGAGCAAGGAUGAAAAUCGGACUUAGUGAUCCGGUGGUUCUGCGUGGAAGGGCCAUCGCUCAACGGAUAAAAGCUACCCUGGGGAUAACAGGCUUAUCUCCCCCAAGAGUCCACAUCGACGGGGAGGUUUGGCACCUCGAUGUCGGCUCAUCACAUCCUGGGGCUGUAGUAGGUCCCAAGGGUUGGGCUGUUCGCCCAUUAAAGUGGUACGCGAGCUGGGUUCAGAACGUCGUGAGACAGUUCGGUCCCUAUCCGUCGCAGGCGUAGGAAAUUUGAGAAGACCUGUCCUUAGUACGAGAGGACCGGGAUGGACGUACCUCUGGUGUACCAGUUGUUCUGCCAAGGGCAUGGCUGGGUAGCUAUGUACGGAAUGGAUAAGCGCUGAAAGCAUCUAAGCGCGAAGCCAACUUCAAGAUAAGAUUUCCCACCGCAAGGGUAAGACCCCAGAAAGACUAUCUGGUUGAUAGGUCGAAGGUGUAAGUGCAGCAAUGUAUUUAGCUUAUCGAUACUAAUAGGUCGAGGACUUGACCAA